Molecule: long non-coding RNA, 349 nt
Organism: Salvelinus sp. IW2-2015
Lineage: Eukaryota; Metazoa; Chordata; Actinopteri; Salmoniformes; Salmonidae
Source: RefSeq, a predicted model, not a curated record
ACAAAUGCGCAUCAUGACUUCAACAAAGAAGACAACUUGGAACGUACCCGAUCCUCCCAUGCCAUCAUUCUCUUUCCCGCUUCAAAUAAAGACCCUUCACACUUACCACCCUUCUCUUCAGACCACUCAGUCCUACGGCUGACACCUUUAGCCUCUAUCUCUCUUUCUUUCUAUCCAUCCUCUUGAUACAGAUCUCUUGAUCUAUCCUCUGGCUCCAUUUUAAUGGUAUGAUGAAUCAGACCUCAAUGGCAGCAAUCCAAAGGUUGUAUGAGGCAAUUGUGAAAGGUAUUUGGACAGAAAUAUGUAUGUUUGUCUACCUUAAGACCCUAUCCCUCAACCACCACAUCCG